This 73-nucleotide transfer RNA is filed under the name Myotis brandtii (Brandt's bat). It matches the Rfam family "tRNA". Rfam says of the family: Transfer RNA (tRNA) molecules are approximately 80 nucleotides in length. Their secondary structure includes four short double-helical elements and three loops (D, anti-codon, and T loops). Lineage: Eukaryota; Metazoa; Chordata; Mammalia; Chiroptera; Vespertilionidae. The record is from Rfam by way of RNAcentral.
GCUGUGGUAGCUCAGUGGAUUGAGCGUCAUCCCACGGACCAAGAGGUCCUGGGUUCGAUUCCCGGUCAGGGCA